AAUAGCUUUAGGGAUAGCGUAGUCAUUAAGAUUCUUGGAGGUAGAGCACUGUUUGGGUGAGGGGUCCAUCCCGGAUUACCAAUCUCAGAUAAACUCCGAAUGCCAAUGAAUUAUGGUCGGCAGUCAGACUGCGAGUGCUAAGAUCCGUAGUCGAAAGGGAAACAGCCCAGACCACCAGCUAAGGUCCCAAAAUAUAUGUUAAGUGGAAAAGGAUGUGGGGUUGCACAGACAACUAGGAUGUUAGCUUAGAAGCAGCUAUUCAUUCAAAGAGUGCGUAAUAGCUCACUAGUCGAGUGACCCUGCGCCGAAAAUGUACCGGGGCUAAAACAUAUUACCGAAGCUGUGGAUACCUAUUAUAGGUAUGGUAGGAGAGCGUUCUAUGUGUGAAGAAGGUGUACCGUGAGGAGCGCUGGAACGCAUAGAAGUGAGAAUGCCGGUAUGAGUAGCGAAAGACAGGUGAGAAUCCUGUCCACCGUAAGACUAAGGUUUCCAGGGGAAGGCUCGUCCGCCCUGGGUUAGUCGGGACCUAAGGAGAGACCGAAAGGUGUAUCCGAUGGCCAACAGGUUGAUAUUCCUGUACUAGAGUAUAUAGUGAAGGAGGGACGCAGUAGGCUAACUAAAGCGUGCGAUUGGAAGAGCACGUCUAAGCAGUGAGGUGUGAUAUGAGUCAAAUGCUUGUAUCUCUAACAUUGAGCUGUGAUGGGGAGCGAAGUUAAGUAGCGAAGUUAGUGAUGUCACACUGCCAAGAAAAGCUUCUAGCGUUAAUUAUACUCUACCCGUACCGCAAACCGACACAGGUAGUCGAGGCGAGUAGCCUCAGGUGAGCGAGAGAACUCUCGUUAAGGAACUCGGCAAAAUGGCCCCGUAACUUCGGGAGAAGGGGCGCUGGCUUUAAGUCAGCCGCAGUGAAUAGGCCCAAGCAACUGUUUAUCAAAAACACAGCUCUCUGCUAAAUCGUAAGAUGAUGUAUAGGGGGUGACGCCUGCCCGGUGCUGGAAGGUUAAGAGGAGCGCUUAGCGUAAGCGAAGGUGUGAAUUGAAGCCCCAGUAAACGGCGGCCGUAACUAUAACGGUCCUAAGGUAGCGAAAUUCCUUGUCGGGUAAGUUCC
This 1108-nucleotide ribosomal RNA is filed under the name human gut metagenome. RNAcentral describes it as "bacterial LSU rRNA". It matches the Rfam family "Bacterial large subunit ribosomal RNA", at positions 863 to 1984 of the family's 2925-position model. The record is from RNAcentral.